UGUUUAUAUAAAUACUUAUAAAUAAAAUCUGCUCAAUGUGUAAUAAAUAGCCGCAAUUAUUAUUGUGCUAAGGUAGCAUAAUCAUUUGCCUUUUAAUUAAGGGCUAGAAUGAAUGAUUUUACACUUUAAUAUAUUUUUUUGUUUAAAAAUUUUAAAUUUAAUUAAAUAUAAAAAUGUAUUUAUUUUUUAAAAAGACGAUAAGACCCUAUUGAACUUUACUUAAGUUAAGCUGGGGAAGCUAAUUAAUUAUUAUUUUAAUUUUUAUCUAAACAAAAAUUUCCAAUAAAAUUGAUUCUAGCAAGUUACCAUAGGGAUAACAGCGUAAUAUUUUUCAAAAGUUCUUAUUUAAAAAAAAGUUUGCGACCUCGAUGUUGAAUUAAUUUAUCUUAAAAACGUAAUAGUUUUUAAAGUAGGUCUGUUCGACCUUUAAAAAAUUACA
Molecule: ribosomal RNA, 439 nt
Filed under: Palaeohyphantes simplicipalpis
Lineage: Eukaryota; Metazoa; Arthropoda; Arachnida; Araneae; Linyphiidae
Description: partial 16S ribosomal RNA
Rfam family: Bacterial large subunit ribosomal RNA
Source: RNAcentral